UACGGGGGGGGCAAGCGUUGUUCGGAAUUACUGGGCGUAAAGGGCUCGUAGGCGGCCAACUAAGUCAGACGUGAAAUCCCUCGGCUUAACCGGGGAACUGCGUCUGAUACUGGAUGGCUUGAGUUUGGGAGAGGGAUGCGGAAUUCCAGGUGUAGCGGUGAAAUGCGUAGAUAUCUGGAGGAAUACCGGUGGCGAAGGCGGCAUCCUGGACCGGCAUUGACGCUGAGUGAGCGAAAGCUAGGGGAGCAAACGGG
RNAcentral lists this ribosomal RNA (254 nucleotides) under uncultured bacterium. RNAcentral describes it as "partial 16S ribosomal RNA". It matches the Rfam family "Bacterial small subunit ribosomal RNA", at positions 524 to 776 of the family's 1533-position model. The record is from RNAcentral.